This 73-nucleotide transfer RNA is filed under the name Ailuropoda melanoleuca (giant panda). It matches the Rfam family "tRNA". Rfam says of the family: Transfer RNA (tRNA) molecules are approximately 80 nucleotides in length. Their secondary structure includes four short double-helical elements and three loops (D, anti-codon, and T loops). Further hydrogen bonds mediate the characteristic L-shaped molecular structure. tRNAs have two regions of fundamental functional importance: the anti-codon, which is responsible for specific mRNA codon recognition, and the 3' end, to which the tRNAs corresponding amino acid is attached (by aminoacyl-tRNA synthetases). tRNAs cope with the degeneracy of the genetic code in two manners: having more than one tRNA (with a specific anti-codon) for a particular amino acid; and 'wobble' base-pairing, i.e. permitting non-standard base-pairing at the 3rd anti-codon position. The record is from Rfam by way of RNAcentral. Lineage: Eukaryota; Metazoa; Chordata; Mammalia; Carnivora; Ursidae.
GCCUGGCUGGCUCAGUUGAUAGAGCAUAUGACUCUUAAUCUCAGGGUUAUGAGUUCAAGUCCCAUGCUGGGCA